Gorilla gorilla gorilla (western lowland gorilla) is the source of this 7234-nucleotide RNA transcript. It is a transcript of the gene named large ribosomal subunit protein eL8-like, with no coding region annotated. Lineage: Eukaryota; Metazoa; Chordata; Mammalia; Primates; Hominidae. The transcript has a single exon. The record is from RefSeq and is a predicted model, not a curated record.
UUUAUUAUUUAUACAGCAAACUUGUAUUACAAGCAAAUCCAAGAAAGACCAGUGGGAAUAAUUUGAAAACAAUGUAUGUUGCUCAUUACACUUAAGGAACUUGAUGAAAUUCAUAUCAAACUAGCAAUGAAAGCAUUAGCAACAGAGCUGGUGGACAUGGGUGGUGUGCACCUAUAGCCCCAGCUACUUGGGAGGCGGAGGUGGAAGCAAGACUCUAUCUCUUAAAAAAAAAAAAAUGCAGCAAUUACAGUAUAUUCUUAUUAAAAAACAACUUUCCUUUAAUACUUUUAUUCUAUGAUUAAAUAAACCCAUAAUGAUUUUAACAUAAUUUGUAUCUGAAAUGAAAUAUUUAGAGUAUAUCUAAUAUUAUAACCAUAGCCAACUGUGCAUAUAGAAGACUAAUUUAUUUGAAUCCCCAAUAGUUUUGAUUUCUUAUGUACUUCAAUAAGAAAAAGAGAAGAUUGUAGCAAACAAGAAAUAGUGUGGAGUAAAGUAGAAGUAAUUGUACCUUUUAAACUGGGUAGUAUGCUACUGAUUAGCAUAGUUUGAUUAGAAACUUCAUUAUCAGUCCUGUGACAUUCCCAGUGGGAAUGAUACAAACAUUCUAUUUUAUCAAUUUGUGCAUUUUUUUACCUUCAUAUGAAUAAUUCAUACUGUAAUUCUCUUAUUUAUGUAAAAUUGUUUGAAGCUUACAUGUGUUGAAUCAUGAGGCUCUAGCUUAGUGGUUCUCAACUAGGGGCAAGUUUGCCCGCUGGGGGAUAUUUGGCAUUAUAUGGAGACAUCUUUGUUGUCACAACUGGGGUUAGUGUUAAUAUCAUCUAAUAUGUAGAGAUCAGGGAUGUUGCUAAACACUUAAAACGCACUGGACAGCCUCAUAACAGAAUUAACCAGGCUGAAAUGUUAGUAGUGUCAUGGCUGACACACUUUGCUCUAGAUCUUUUUUACUACUCUAUAGCAAAUAUUAUAUUGUGUGAAUACACUUGAUUUAUUUAUCCAUUUUUCUGUUAAUGGAAAUUCAGUUUGUAAAAGACCUUGUUUUGGAGACUAAACUUAAAGGAUUGGAACUGAGGUAUUUUUAAUUAGAGAAGGAAGAGUCAAAAAUAAGAUUUCUUCUCCUCCCGCCACCCAAGAUGCCGAAAGGAAAGAAGGGCAAGGGGAAGAAGUUGGCUCUGGCCCCUGCUGUCGUCAAGAAGCAGAGCAGGAGGCCAAGAAAGUGGUGAAUCCGCUGUUUAAGAAAAGGCCUAAGAAUUUUGGCAUUGGACAGGACACCCAGCCCAAAAGAGACCUCACCUGCUUUGUGAAAUGGCCCUGCUAUAUCAGGUUGCAGCAGCAGAGAGCCAUCCUCUAUAUGCAGCUGAAAAUGCCUCCUGCGAUUAACCAGUUCAUCCAGGCCCUGCGCUGCCAAACAGCUACUCAGCUACUUAAGCUGGCCCACAAGUACAGAUCAGAGACAAAGCAAGAGAAAGAAGCAGAGGCUAUUGGCCCAGGCUGAGAAGAAAGCUGCCGGCAAAGGGGAUGUCCCCAGUAAGAGACCACCUGUCUUUCAAGCAGGAGUCAGCACUUCACCACCUUGGUGGAGAACGCGAAGACUCAGCUAGUGGUGAUUGCAUAUGACAUGGAUCCCAUCAAGCUGGUUGUCUUCCUACCUGCCCUGUGUCGUAAAAUGGGUGUCCCUUACUGCAUUAUCAAGGGGAAGUCAAGAGUGGGAUGUCUACUCCACAGAAAGACCUGCACCACUGGUUGCCUUCACACAGGUUAACUUGGAAGACAAAGGAGCUUUGUCUAAGCUGGUGGAAGCUAUCAGGAUCGAUUACAAUGACAGAUACAAUGAGAUCUGCCAUCACUGGGGAGGCAAUGUCCUGGGUCCCAAGUCUGUGACUCGCAUUGCCAAGCUCAUAAAGGCAAAGGCUAAAGAACUUGCCACCAAUUGGAUUAAAUGUACACUGUUGAGCUUUCUGUACAUAAAAAAGAAGGUAAUGCAAAUUUUCCUAAAGAUUUCUAUCCAAAGUGACUUGAUGAAUAAUAUGUAAUUAACUUGAAGAGAGAAAGCAGAAGGAGCAGAAUUGGUUGGAGAAAACAAAUUCUUGAUGCCAAAGAGAUGGGUUAGGUCUAGAGAAGUGCACGUGAAAAUAGAGAUAAUAGUUGAGGUUUGUGGAUAAAUAAAAUCGCUCAAGGAGAGUAAUACAUUGGAAAGAAGGGAGGUGUAGAGCAGAACCUGUGGAUUAGCAGUAAGGGAGACUGAGAAGUGGUUAGCUGAAGAAGGAACAAGUAUACCAAGAAAAAGUAGGUAGAUAAAAAUCACAAAUUGAAGAUGUUUUGGGACCUGAUUGUUUGCAGUAGAUUUUCUAUAUUAUUUUUUUCUAUACCAUAUGUAUGUAUAAUUAGAAAAUUAUUUUAAAAUCAUAUUGGUUUCGUGUAAUUAACAGUCCUAUAUUGUUACCUGGGCAAGUUAAAUAGUCCUAAUUGUCCCUGAGUUGUUAGAGAAUGUUUGUGAACCACUCAGCACAGACCUUGACAGAUAGGUUUUUGUUUUUUGCUUUUUUGAAGUACAUGAUAUAGACAGGAACACAGAUUUUUAAAUGGUAGCUGUUACUAAGUAUGGGAGAGAGCUUUGACUCUGGCAGUUUGGGAUGGCCUUUCAAAAGUGACAAGUGUGGUUGUAAGGGUUAGAGAGUAAGUUGGUGAUGAAUGAUACACUACUCUUUGGAGAAUAAAGAGCCAGGUGUGAGGGUAGAGUUUUCUAGGAUUAGGAGACUUGGAUGUGUUUGAAACCUGAGGAGUAAGAAAUUGGUGGAGAGAAGGGACUCUGAGAGGAUGCCAGCAGUAUUGGCUACAGCUUUUUCAUCUUCCCCAAUUAUCCAUCCAGUAAAAGCAGAGCUCCCUUUAAUAUUGGGAGCAAUAUUAAGAUGUUUACUCAUCACUUGUAUUUAUCAUUGUAUUGGAGGUCCUAACAAGUACAAUAAGGCAAGAAAAAGAAAUGUAUACAGUUUAACAAGAGGAAAUAAAACUUUGUGUUUGCAGGUGAAAUGAAAAUCCUAAGGACUCUGUAGAAAAACUAUAUAUGAAAUUCCAGAACAGCCAAAUAAUGUAUGAUGGGAAAGAAAAUCAGAAUGGUUUUAUGGUUGCCUGUGCACAGUCCCAUAACUGGGACUGUUAACUGGGAAAGGGUAUGAAGGGAACUUUCUGGUUGAUGGAAGUGUUAAUAAUCUUCAUAGAAGUUAGGGAGGUAUUAGCAUUUUAAAAACUCAUAGAAUUGAGUAUAUUUUAUAUGUGUACAUUUUACUGUAUGAAAAUUUUAGUAUUAAAAAUAUUAAAAUUACCAGUAGUGAAACAUAGAUUUAAACCUCCUGAUAUGAUGGCACUGAGAAAUAUGCACCAUCACCUCUGUAACAUUCCUUCCAGAAAUGCUUUGCCUGGAUCUAAUCAUAGGAGACAUCAGACAAGCCCAAAUUGAGGAUUCUACAAAAGAAUUGCAAAAUAACUGGCCUGUAGUCUUCAAAAAUGUUAAGGCCAUGAAAAAAAAAAAAAAAAGCUCCAGAUAAAAGAACUAGAGAUAUGACAACUGAAAACAACAUGUAAACCUAGAUUAAAUAACUACUGGGUGAGGCAAAACCAUUUUGCAAAAAUUUUCUUUUGCUAAAACAUCAGUGGGACAAUUUGAAUAAGUGUUGUAGAUUAGAUAAUAUUAUGUAUAAGUGUUAAUAAUUACUCUGAUUAUGUAAAAGAUAUCCUUCUAAGGAAAUACAUAUUUAAGGGUAAGUGGCAUCAAGUCCUGCAACUUGCACAUGGUUCAGGAGAAAGAAUGGGGAAGCAAAUGUGAAAUAUUAAUACAGGUUGAGCAUCUGCAGUCUAAAACUUUUUGAGUGUGGAUGUCAUGCCACAAGUAGAAAAUUCCAUACCUGAUCUCAUGCAACAGGUUGCAGUGAAAACUUUGUUUCCUGCACAAAAUUAUUUGAGACAGAGAUUCACUCUUGUGUCUCAGGCUGGAGUGCAAUGGCGCGAUCUUGGCUCACUGCAACCUGCGCUUCCUGGGUUCAAGCCAUUCUCCUGCCUCAGCCUCCCAAGUAGCUGGGAUUACAGGCAUGCGCACCCCUACGCCCAGCUAAUUUUUGUAUUUUUAGUAGAGGCGGGAUUUCGCCAUGUUGGUCAGGCUGGUCUCAAACUCCUGACCUCAAGUGAUCCACCUGCCUCAGCCUCCCAAAGUGCUGGGAUUACAGGUGUGAGCCACCGUGCUCAGCCCUGAAAUUAUUUUAAAGUAAAGUUAAAAAUAAGACAAAGCAAGUACAGUUGAGGAACCAACAAAAUCUACAGAUGCCAUCUACGUCAAAGCAAAAUGAUAUUUCCCCACAAACCCGUAAAGGGAUAGGGACAAACCACCAAAAUCUAUAUAAGAGGCUUGGUUAAUACUAGCAUUUGUGCAGGGGGAACUGAAGGGAAGCAGCAGAGCACCUGACAGCAUAAAGAAUGCUAGCAGAGCCAACCGUUUUUCUGGAAAGCUCGUAGGGCAUAUUUGAGAAGAGCAGCAGUUAAUCGGGAGUAGUUUUCCGUAAUGGAAUAACGAGUAAAUACAGGGGCUCUGGGAUAAGGUAUGAAGGAUCUGACUGGACCAGUCAAGAGUUCAAACCACACAGUAGUUUGAAUAGAGAAAGUUAAUAUAAGGAAUUGUUAACUAUAGCAAGAUUGGAGUAAUGAAGGAUUGACUAGUACAAAGUAAAAAGAUCUUUAAAGAAAAUAGAAAUAGCACGUAGUCACAGUUCAGUGGCUCAUGCCUGUGAUUGCAGCACUUUGGGAGGUCGAGGCAGGGUGAUUGCUUGAGUCCAGGAGUUUGAGACCAGCCUGGGCAACGUGGUGAAACUUUUGUCUCUACAAAAAAAUUUAAAAAUUAGCUGGACGUGGUGGGUACCUGGUAGUCCCAGCUACUCAGGGGGCUGAGGUGGGAGGAUUGCUUGAGUCUGGCAGGUCAUAGCUGCAGUGAGCCCAGAUGGCACCACUUCAUUCCACCCUGGGUAACAGAGUGACACCCUGUCUCAAAAAAAAAGAAAAAAACAUACACACAGACAUACAUGCAUACAUACAAGGAGCAGCCACUACCCUUAGGGCUAAGACAGUGUGUCCAAGAAUGAGUCCCCCAUUUCCCUACCACCACCCCAGGGCUGAGAUUCAUACCUGGUUAGAAAGGGCUCAGUUGUGGCUCACUGAAUGGCAGAGUAAUUGCUGAUGUGCUUCUCUGGGGAAGCGUGCUGAAAGGCUUUUCAUGAGAGGUGUCACUCUGCUACAAAACUACUCAGAUGAGGUGCUGCGGGAAGCUGCUGGUCUCUGAGCUCACUUAUAUGUCAGAACCUGGCUUUGAGGAACUGGGUGCUGUGGGAGCCUGCUGAAAAACACACGGGAACAGGAAGUAAAAAUCUCUCCAUUGUUCUCCGCUGGCAGAAGUUAACAUGCCAGCUGUCAAAGGAAAAGUUUUAAAGUGUCCAGGCACAUUUUUGCUCAACAGGCAGAAGGGAUGACUUUGUGACUAAGAAGCAGUAACCAGCACAGGGUUCUAUCGUUGUUCAUGCUAACUGGCCACUAUACCCUUCCAGAACAAAGCCCCUCACUGAGGACAAACUGUUGGAAAUAUAAUCCAGAUUGAGCUGCAGAGAGACAAGUCAGUAGAGACGAAAGGAAAGGUUCAGAUAAAAGCGGUAGGGAGAAGAUAACCAGGACAUUAAAGAACGUAAACCCGGGAGGCAGAGGUUGCAGUGAGCCAAGAUCGCGCCAUUGCACUCCGGCCUGGGCAACAAGAGUAUGAAACUCGGUCUCAGAAAAAAAAAAAAAAAAAAAAAUCCUAAGUUGGUUUAAAAAAAAAAAAUCAUCUGGGAAAACUCAAAAUAAGGGGCUAGAACUCUUGAAAAGAAGUAAUAAUAAAAGAUUUCAGAAAAAUAAAGACUAAAGAAAGAAUAAAGAGAAUAAAUAAUAUUUUUCAAGAAUUAGACAGCGAAGGAAAAUUUUUUAAAUGAAGGAGAAAUACAUAGGUAAGAAAUUAAAACUGGAAAAAAAAAGUUUGGCAGAAAAGAUCUAAUAUAGAUAUAUAAUAGGAUCUUCCCACCCCCGCCCCCAGAAAGAAAACCAAAAUAAAGGAAUAGCUUAAAUACUGACAAGUGGCCGGGUACGGUGGCUCACACCUGUAAUCCCAGCAGUUUGGGAGGCCGAGGGGGGCAGAUCACGAGGUCAGGAGAUCGAGACCAUCCUGACUAACAUGUUGAAACCCUGUCUCUACUAAAAAUACAAAAAAUUAGCCAGGCAUGGUGGCGGGCGCCUGUAGUCCUAGCUACUCGGGAGGCUGUGAGGCAGGAGAAUGGCGUGAACCCGGGAGGUGGAGCUUGCAGUGAGCUGAGAUCGCGCCACUGCACUCCAGCCUGGGGACAGAGUGAGACUCCGUCUCAAAAAAAAAAAAAAAAUACUGAAAAGUAUAGUUCAAGAACAUUUUUCUGAAAUACAUUUAGAUUUGAAUCUACAAAUUGAAAGGACAGCAGGAUGACUAAGACAUACUCUUACAAAAUACUAGACUUGAACAAAAAAAGAAAGAUAUCCUUUGGCCAUUCAGGCAUAAAGACUGAGUUGUUAAGAGAAAGAAAACCAGAUAGACUGUGACAGCAAAGCUUUAUAACAAGUAAAUGGAGUAACAAUUACAAUAAAGAAAAUGUGAGCCAAAGAUUUUGUGCUUUGUCAAGCUAAUGUUCAGUUAUAAAGAUCACAGACAAACAUCAAUGUGUAAGUACUUGGAAUAUUGCUCUUUCCGGCAUUGUUUCGCGCUGCCACAAUGGUGUGUGUGAACGUCCUACCUGUUGCUCUCAAGAGUAUCACCAAUGCCAAAAAGAGAGGGAAACGCCGGUUCUUACUAGGCCAUGCUCCAAAGUCAUUCUCCAACUUCUAGCUGUGAUGAUGAAGCAUCGUUACAUUGGAAAAUUUGAAAUCAUUGAUGAUAACAGAGCUGGGAAAAUUGUGAACCUCACAGGCAGGCUAAACAAGUGUAGAGCCCCAGCUUUGAUUUGCAACUCAAAGAUCUAGAAAAACGGCAGAACAAUCUGCUUCUAUCCCAACCAUUUGACUUCGUCAUAUUGACAGCCUUAGCUGGUAUCAUGGACCAUGAAGAAGCAAGACGAAAACACACAGGAGGGAAAAUCCUUGGAUUUUGUUUCUAGGGAUGCAAUACAUAUUUACAAAUAAAAUGCCUCAAAAAAAAAAAAAAAAA